GCAGCCGCGGUAAUUCCAGCUCCAAUAGCGUAUAUUAAAGUUGCUGCAGUUAAAAAGCUCGUAGUUGAAUUUCGGGACCAUCAUGUCGGUCGUGCCUCGGUACGUACUGGUAUUGUUGGUUUCUCCCUUCUGACGAACCAUGAUGUCAUUUAUUUGGUGUUGUGGGGAAUCAGGACUGUUACUUUGAAAAAAUUAGAGUGUUUAAAGCAGGCUCACGCUUGAAUACAUUAGCAUGGAAUAAUGAAAUAGGACGUUUGAUUCUAUUUUGUUGGUUUCUAGGAUCGACGUAAUGAUUAAUAGGGAUAGUUGGG
RNAcentral lists this ribosomal RNA (311 nucleotides) under uncultured Glomus. Its description in RNAcentral is "SSU rRNA". It matches the Rfam family "Eukaryotic small subunit ribosomal RNA", at positions 570 to 886 of the family's 1831-position model. The record is from RNAcentral. Lineage: Eukaryota; Fungi; Glomeromycota; Glomeromycetes; Glomerales; Glomeraceae.